Molecule: ribosomal RNA, 497 nt
Filed under: uncultured bacterium
Lineage: Bacteria
Description: partial 16S ribosomal RNA
Rfam family: Bacterial small subunit ribosomal RNA
Source: RNAcentral
GAUGAACGCUGGCGGCGUGCCUAAUACAUGCAAGUCGAGCGAACAGACGAGGAGCUUGCUCCUCUGACGUUAGCGGCGGACGGGUGAGUAACACGUGGAUAACCUACCUAUAAGACUGGGAUAACUUCGGGAAACCGGAUCUAAUACCGGAUAAUAUAUUGAACCGCAUUGUUCAAUAGUGAAAGACGGUUUUGCUGUCACUUAUAGAUGGAUCCGCGCCGCAUUAGCUAGUUGGUACGGUAACGGCUUACCAAGGCAACGAUGCGUAGCCGACCUGAGAGGGUGGUCGGCCACAUGGGAAGUGAGACACGGGCCAGACUCCUACGGGAGGCAGCAGUAGGGAAUCUUCCGCAAUGGGCGAGAGCCUGACGGAGCAACGCCGCGUGAGUGAUGAAGGUCUUCGGAUCGUAAAAAUCUGUUAUUAGGGAAGAACAAAUGUGUACGUAACUAUGCACGUCUUGACGGUACCUAGUCAGAAAGCCACGGCUAACUACGUG